AAUAGCUUCCCCAAUCACCAAACCUAAAACAUCUGUGCGGGAGAGAAAGAAAAAUUGAAAACCCAUCUUCAGAAACUUUCGUCUCCCAAAACCCUAGAGUUCCUACUCACUCAUGCUUAAACCCUUAUAAAUAUAUACAAAGGUCAAGCAGAUCCGAGGAUACUUAGGUAUUUUCAAAUAAAAGGAUGUUGGGGUCAUUGCCAAUAUUGCCCCUUCCAGCACCGCCAUCAGAUGGAAAUUUAGGACCGCUUCCAUUAUCUCAAGUUACUGCUGAAGACUCACCACCACAUGACAAUGUUACUCCUCCUCCUCCACCAGCAUCUGUUGCUACACAUACAAGAACGAUAGGUAUUAUUCAUCCUCCUCCGGACAUUCGAACAAUUGUUGAUAAGACUGCGCACUUUGUUGCGAAGAAUGGGCCUGAUUUCGAGAAGAGGAUUAUUGCAAAUAAUGCUGGAAAUGCCAAAUUCAAUUUCUUGAAUGGUUCUGAUCCUUAUAAUGCAUAUUACCAACAUCGGUUGUCUGAAUUCCGUGCCCAAAAUGAGCUAACCCCACAAGCUGAUGAUUCCUCUGGACAAGAGGUAGUACCGAGUGCUGAUUCUGCUGGAGAUGCUAAUGAAUUAGCUGAAACUAAGCCUGAUCCGUCAGCCCAGUUUAAACCUGUCCGAAAAGUUCUUGUGCCCCCGGAACCUGAGACGUAUACAGUUCGGCUACCGGAAGGUAUUACAGGUGAAGAGUUGGAUAUUAUCAAGCUUACUGCUCAGUUUGUUGCUAGAAACGGGAAAUCGUUCUUGACAGGUUUGACUAGUAGGGAGAUUAAUAACUAUCAAUUCCAUUUUCUAAAACCUACUCAUAGUAUGUUUAUGUUCUUUACUGCACUUGCGGAUGCCUAUUCAAAGGUUUUGAUGCCUCCGAAAGGUUUGACGGAGAAACUUCGUAAUAGUGUGGUGGAUAUGACCACUGUUCUUGAGAGGUGUUUGCAUAGACUUGAGUGGGAAAGGUCACAGGAACAAGCUAGGUUGAAAGCUGAAGAUGAGAUUGAACAGGAACGCAUGCAGAUGGCGAUGAUUGAUUGGCAUGAUUUUGUUGUGGUUGAGGCAAUUGAUUUUGUAGAUGAUGAGGAUGAGGAUUUGCCUCCUCCGAUGACAUUGGAGGAAGUUAUUAGAAGGAGCAAGAUAACAUCUAUGGAUGAAGAUGUGGUACCUGUUGAGCCUGGAAAGGAGGCAGAUAUGGAGAUGGAUGAAGAAGAAGUGAAACUUGUUGAGGAGGGUAUGAGAGCGGCUAGUAUGGAUGAUAAUGACAAUGAGAAGAAGCGUGAAAAUAAAUCAGCAGCUUCCGAGGAGCCAGAAGCGCCAAUGAGAAUCGUAAAGAAUUGGAAGAGACCGGAAGAGAGGAUCCCAGCAGAAAGAGAUCCCACAAAGUUUGUUGUUUCUCCAAUUACUGGAGAAUUGAUUCAUAUAAGUGAAAUGGCAGAGCAUAUGAGGAUUUCCCUAAUUGAUCCAAAGUACAAGGAACAAAAAGAGAGGAUGAUGGCUAAGAUUCGGGAGACCACUCUUGCUCAAGAUGAUGAGAUAUCAAGGAACAUUGUGGGUCUUGCUCGAACACGUCCUGAUAUUUUUGGAACGACAGAAGAAGAAGUAUCUAAUGCUGUUAAGGCAGAGAUUGAAAAGAAGAAAGAGGAGCAACCUAAGCAGGUCAUAUGGGAUGGCCACACAGGAAGCAUUGGUAGAACCGCAAACCAGGCAAUGUCACAGAGUCUCGAGGAUCAAAUGGAGAAUGGUAACAAUUUACCUGGUCCUGCUGCACCUCCUCCAAAACCUGGUGUGCCAUCAGUUCGUCCUCUACCUCCACCACCAGGGUUAGUGUUGAAUAUGCCUAGAAUGGGGCAAAAUACAAUGCAAUACCCUAAUAGCGGACAGUACAUGCAGCCUAGACCUCCUAUUAUGCAGAAUAUGCAGGGAGUUAGGGCUCCUCUUCCUCCUAUGACGAUGAACCCUGGUCCGCCUAUGAUGAUGAACCGACCACCCCAACAAGUUUCCGUGAACCCUUCAAGUAUACCUCCUCCUCCUGGGUCACUCUACCCACCUUUGGGAAUGCCUAGGCCCUUCUCACACCUUCCACCUCCACCUAUGCAAGUGAUGCCACCACAAAUGAUGCCGCCACCACCACCACCACCGGAGGAAGCUCCUCCUCCACUUCCUGAGGAACCAGAGCCAAAAAGGCAAAAGGUUGAAGAUCAGCUUAUACCAGAAGCGCAGUUCUUGGCUCAACAUCCGGGACCUGCCCGCAUUGUUGUAGCUAUUCCGAAUGUGGAUGAAUUGAACCUUAACGGACGACUUUUGGAGAUUACCGUACAAUCUCUAUCCGAGACUAUUGGUAAUUUGAAGGAGAAGAUCGCUGGGGAGACUCAGAUUGCUGCAAACAAACAGAAACUGAGUGGGCGAGGUGGUGUUGUCCUUAAGGAUCAUUGGUCACUCGCACAUUGGAACAUCGGAGCUGGGGAAACUCUUACCCUUGCUUUUAAAGAACGUGGUGGCAGAAAGAGAUAGAUCAUUUUCCUUCCUUACAUGCAGAGUUGGGGUUUAAUAUUCAGUUUACUUACUACUAGAUGAAAGUAUCCAGUUGAAAAUGUUGUGCAACAUGUAUUCUACCUUGUUUUAUUCCUGUUGUUUUAGAUCUUUGAUAUGAUUCAUAUCUAGAUCUGCACCAGACUAUUAUUUUGGUUUAAACUGAUAGCAAGUCUGGCAUAUACUACAGAUGCGGUGCCUAGGUGAUUAUCUUUCAGCGUCGACAUGGAAAGUCACAAGUUCAUUGUGCUUAUGGAGACCAAGUUUGUGCUUAAAUAACCAUCUUCUGCUGCUUUCGUUUUAGAAGGGACUCUAAUGCCAGUACAGGAGAAAGGAGCUUCCUUCGUGUGCAAUGGGUUCUUGUUUUUGGGACAAAUAUGUCUUUUCGUUUGGCAUAGGAUUUAUGAUGUUCUACUUUUAACAAAUUGUAUCUGGUUUGAAUUAAGUAAAAGAAGAAUGGUUAGCUAUAGUACAGGUCUAUUUUUGGACCAGGCAUCCUGUUGGAGCAACUUAAUUUUGUCAGCACUCGGAGCUGUGCCAACGGAACUGAUGUAGACUAGGUUUGAAAUACCCAAUUUCAUUUUCCUACUUCAGUUCCCUACACUUUUGUGUCAUUGGAAAUAAAUUGCUCUCCCAGAAUAAGGGUUUGGAGUUUUGCAACCUUAUCCUAGGUUUUCUCCCUA
This is an RNA transcript of Papaver somniferum (opium poppy), 3250 nucleotides long. It is a transcript of the gene named probable splicing factor 3A subunit 1, with no coding region annotated. The record is from RefSeq and is a predicted model, not a curated record. The transcript has 4 exons. Lineage: Eukaryota; Viridiplantae; Streptophyta; Magnoliopsida; Ranunculales; Papaveraceae.